This 546-nucleotide unclassified non-coding RNA is filed under the name Hevea brasiliensis (rubber tree). Lineage: Eukaryota; Viridiplantae; Streptophyta; Magnoliopsida; Malpighiales; Euphorbiaceae. The record is from RNAcentral.
AUCAACAUUUCCACUGUACUGAAAGCACAUAAACUGCUCCUCAACUGUAUGUAAUUUCAAUCCAGAUUGCUGAGCCACAAUCUUACUCAUCAUUGACUCAUAAACUGUCUCGGGAAGAUAUGCCAAGGUGGUGCCACUGUCAAUUAUUGUUCCUUUCCGAUCUCCAGUUUGAAAUAUAUCUGUUGGAAGUUCCAGAACAUUACCGCCCACCUCUAUUUCCUUCAUAACAACAUUGUAAUGUGGCUGAUUUGCUACCAUUGGAGUUGUAUUUACUUUUGGUGAGACUACCUCCCCAAUGGCAAAGAUUCCACCUCCAUUUACAUUGUCCAGGCAAUGUGCAAACAUUUUUUUAACCUUUCCUGCUGCAGCAAGUUGUGAAAUCAUAGAUGAGUUUGCUUGUCCAAAACCAAGUAUUCCAUCCAGAGCUUCACUGGAUGUACCCAACUCUCCUGAUUGUUUAGCUCCACACCCAAAUACAACACUUCCAUUUGCUGAUGCUGUUUGAAGAUUUCCAGUCACUCUUUCAAACUGCAAAUUGUCCCUCAC